This 637-nucleotide long non-coding RNA is filed under the name Dermacentor andersoni. RNAcentral describes it as "uncharacterized LOC126539773". Lineage: Eukaryota; Metazoa; Arthropoda; Arachnida; Ixodida; Ixodidae. The record is from RNAcentral.
AUUUCGGUUUCGAAUCUGUUUUUUGGAUGCGUAGUAGUUUCGUACAGUUUAGGUUUGACAUGCGAUCGCGCGUCGACAUCGGACGCUAUGGCACACUCGUGCCUUAUGUGCCACCGAAGCCCUGAAGUGCUUUGGCAUAUACCUUCACAUAUAUGCAAUGGCAAGCCCUUCCGUGUGUUCCAAAAACAAUGCCUACGCCUAGCCACAGUAGCUCCCUCAUACAGACUCCGCAAGCCAAGAGGCCGUGGAGGCAAAUGCAGGCAGCCAGCACACCUCGAACAGCCACCUUGACUGUGGGUGUGUCACCCUAAUCGCCAAGGAAACAUUUGAGGGAAAGCGACAGGCAAUGUGAACAGCCACUUCUCCAUGCAAACGAUACUCUUUCUCUCGGAUGACUCCUACGCCUCGCCACGCCAGCACACAUGUGCACAAAGAUGCUGCGGAGGCACGUGCAGGUCAGAGGCAAGAAGCAGUGGCACUGGUGUCGACAUUCACCCACUUUCUUUUUCUUACACUGAGGCAGCCAGCACACCUCGAACAGCCACCUUGGCUGCGGGUGUGUCAGUAGGUUCCUGUUGUACAUAUGCUCAUAAUAAACUUCAGUAAAUUUGAACUUGAUAAUAAACUUGAAGGCAAA